UUCUGUGUUUAAAGAAAAAAAACGAAUAUGGUGCCAAACUGUGAUUAUAAAUCCUUUGUGUCUUAGAGUGCACUCAUUUUCUGGAGAUUAGGGGCUGUCCUUUAUCAGCCAGUUCACUUCUGAAAGUCCAUGAUAGACUGCUGCUUGCCCGUCUGCUCCAAGGAGCAGCAACCUCAACUUUAUCAUCAAGGAAACCCCCAAACACAUCUGUCAGGGGAGGAGGUAAAGCAGAAAUACUGCUUUCUCAGGGCAGACCCUCACAGGCAAAUCUUACUUUUUUUAUCUGGAGCAAUAAAAACUGCAAUUGAAAGUGGACUUUGGAAGUAAGGAAGCAGUUGUAAUGCAGAGAUGUCUGUGUGAGAUACCUGAGCAAAAGCAAUCAGUUUGGCUCUGCCACUGCACUGCUCCACGUGGCUGGAAUUAUUCUGCUGAAAAACAAGAAUAUAUCCCAAACAAACAUCCGUGAAACAGAAAAAGGCUACAACCAAGGCAGAGAACCGAACCCACAGGCAAUAGUAAUUACUGCCCUUCCAAGAAGAAGUAAGAGAAAAGUCGCAGCUACCCCAGAGCUGCCCCUGGGAUGGCAUACUUCUACACAGCACCUUUCAUCUCACCAGGCUGAUGCAGAGAUUUCAUGGUAAAUUCUUAGGCUUUGCUAAUCAGACAAGCUUGUCCAGGCACAUAGAGCUGUGCAUACAACCUCCAUCUGCAAGAAAAACAUCAUGUCUUCAGGCUGAUAAGAUGUGGAUUGCUAUUCUAUUUGCUUGGGGUUCAUCUCCCAUCAAAACCCAUGUUGAUUCUCAGUUGAUUGUAAGUUCAAGCGCUUCAUUGCAAAUGUUAAUCUUGCAGGCAGAUAGCUGGAGUCCUAUGCACGUUCUUCUUUUCUUUAUUUUUUUAUUUUUUGACUCUUUUUUGGGGGGGGGGUAGAGGUAUGGAAAAGAUUAAUUAAGAAAGCAGAUUACAUUGGUCUGGUUUAUUUGCCCUUCUUCCUUCUCUAAAUAGGAGUGAACUUUGGCAGGGUUAGUUUUCUUGUUCCCUUCCACUAGAGGUAACAAAAUGUAAUUUUCUUUCACAAGGGCAACUUAGAAGAAAUUUACCCUCUGCUCUUGAGGCUGAGAUAGCAACAACGCUGCCUCAUUCAAGUGGCUACCAGUCAUUAUGAAAUGCAUGAAUAAGCAGUAACAAUUAAUUCACUGAGGCUGGACGAAAAUAUUUUUUGGGUGAUAGUGUAAUGUAAAUCAUUGUUUUACACAUUCCCUUUCAGUGAUUUAAUUCAUGCCUUUCUGACCCCCGCUGUGUUAUGAUUCAUAGAUUAGUGCUCAUGUGUGUAAUUUAACAAAGCUGAAUAACAAACAGCAAGGAGACUUAAACAAAUCAUUGCAUCUGAUGUUUUUACGAUAAAUUAGGAAAACAUCAUUAGUACCAUGCAGAAUGAUUAUGCUGCUGCAAUUUCUACAUAAGUACCUGUCAGGAAAAAAAGAAAAAUACACAAAACAUUGCAUAACAAGCAGUAAACCAGAUGUAGAGAUCCAAAACAAUGGCAGGCAAUAAUCCAUGUACUGUA
This is a long non-coding RNA of Pezoporus flaviventris, 1564 nucleotides long. RefSeq lists it as uncharacterized. The transcript has 3 exons. The record is from RefSeq and is a predicted model, not a curated record. NCBI's taxonomy places the organism in Eukaryota, Metazoa, Chordata, Aves, Psittaciformes, Psittacidae.